This 29-nucleotide non-coding RNA is filed under the name Mus musculus (house mouse). The record is from RNAcentral. Lineage: Eukaryota; Metazoa; Chordata; Mammalia; Rodentia; Muridae.
UGGAAUUUGCAGCUCUCCUGCUUCAGCCU